RNAcentral lists this long non-coding RNA (1932 nucleotides) under Canis lupus familiaris (dog). RNAcentral describes it as "lncRNA (ENSCAFG00030017364.1)". Lineage: Eukaryota; Metazoa; Chordata; Mammalia; Carnivora; Canidae. The record is from RNAcentral.
CUCAAGUAGUAUUUUAAGACACCUGAACAUUUAUUUCUCUAAUUACUUUUUUUUUCAGUAUCAGAAGUAUUUUGAUAUCAGCAGGACUACCGUCUCAUUCUUCUUCAAUUUCACAGCAUUCUAAGGGAAGUAAAUCACCCGACUUUGCUGAUGCAUCAUGGUCCACCAGAUCCUGCAGAAAUCAUAAAAACAUUACCUCAGAAAUACAGAAGGAAACUUGUGUCUCAAGAAGAAAUUGAAUUAUCCAACGUGGAGGUCCGGAAAUAAUCACUGACCGGGUGGGCUCUGGUUUUGUCAUCAGACAAAAGAUAGUCCUAUUACAAUAAAGAACUGCCAAAAGGGCACAUGAGAUAAAUUAGACAGUAACAACUUGAAUAAAUAUCUCGUUAAAAAAAAAGACAAAAAAAUAUAGAAAAUUUAGAUGGACCACUUGUAUCUUCUCAAUAAUGUUAUCUUGGUCAUUUCCUUCACCAAGCUUUACCUAAUUGCUUAUAUACUUAUUAAAGUAUACAUUUUUUAAAUGUUUGCCUAUUAAUGUUCCUCUCGAUUAUCAAGUAUUUAGCCAGUGUUGAGCUAUAAAAGCAUACAAUAUAGGUAGUAAAACUAUCAUAGGUUUCCCAUAAUUUCACUUUUGUUUCAGACAUGGAAAAGAUUAUACAUAUCGAUUGCUGCUUUGGGGGAAUGACUUUUUCCUGAAACUGGAUACAGGAUCGUGAAAGAAGAAUGACUCCAUUAUUUGUUCUUUAUUCUUUUUAACAUUUUUUUUCGAUUCACAAAGUUACUGGAGUAUAACUAGUUUAAAAAGCAUAUCCUACACUAGAUGAUAAAAAUACAGUUAAGGUAAAACAGGGAACUUUGUGGUAUUAAAACUGGGAGUUAACACAAAGAUUAUUUGUAACCUAUAUUCAGAAGAAAAUACCAGAGUUUAAAAUGGAAAAUAAGAGAUCAAAAUGAAUAUAAUCUAGGAAGAGAUGUUUGAUUAGAAAUUGCAACUUACUAUGUUAUUAAGGGUGUUAAGUCUUAAAAAAAAAGGGGGGGGGGUGUUAAGUCUUACUAUUUGAUUUAUUUUACUGUUUUGUCAUGUAUGCAAAUUCUGAAAACCACUUUCUCAAACUUAAUGUCUGAAAGCCUCUUAAAAUCAACCUAAAUAUUUACCUUAUUAAAGCUAUUUAUGGAACUUUAGAGGCUUACAGUGCCAAGGGUAUGCAUUAUUGUGAACUAAAGCGUCACAAAGCUAAAUAAAUUUUCUUCCAUACGUUGAAUGAUAUCUAGAAUAUGCUUUAAAGAAGUCGUCCCUAAUAAAUAAAUAAAUAAAAUAAAUAAAUAAAUAAAUAAAUUAAAUAAUAUAAAAAGUCAUCCCUAAUAGUAGGGUAGCUUGUGGGCAUUAGAGUCAAAUUGUUAUUGAAUAUUACUCAGUUGCCUGUGGAUUAAACUUUACUUUUUUUGUUAUUUCAUAGUUGAUCUGCUUUUCUUAUAAAUUCUCUAUCGUGGCCCUAGUAUAAAUGUUGCCCAAGUCGAAUACGAAAUAGGUGUUUGGUGACUCAGCAAAACAAUGUGACCUCAUUAUUUUCUGUUAUUAUUUUAAAAACUUAUUUGGAAAAUAUUCUAAAAGAUUAGCACUAUUUUCUUCUUUCUCCUUUUUUUCACUUCACUAAAAGGAAGCCAAGGUCGAUUUUUUUUUGCUUUCCCCAAACAGAGUGGGUUCAAGCAAUGAAGAAUGAUUUGUGUGAUACUGUGGGCCAGCAGUCAGAAACCCCAUACUAGAACUGUCUGAGGUCAUCUUCAUUAGAGCUCCUACCAUGAAUGGUGCAAUGAAAAACUAUCACAUUUACAGAAUUUGUCAGCUUAACUAUGGCAAAAAGGCAUCUUCAGUAGGAAAUGGUGUCAUAGGAUGAGCUCCCAAAAAGGAUAGAUUAAUAGCCAGUAUUUUCA